This 428-nucleotide ribosomal RNA is filed under the name uncultured archaeon. RNAcentral describes it as "bacterial SSU rRNA". It matches the Rfam family "Archaeal small subunit ribosomal RNA", at positions 474 to 903 of the family's 1478-position model. The record is from RNAcentral.
UACCUGCAGCUCAAGUGGUGGCCGUUAUUAUUGGGCCUAAAACGUCCGUAGCCGGUUUAUUAAAUGCCUGGGUAAAUCGGACCGCUCAACGGUUCGAAUUCCGGGUAGACUGAUAGACUUGAGACUGGGAGAAGCUAGAGGUACUCCUGGGGUAGAGGUGAAAUUCUGUAAUCCUAGGGGGACCACCAGUGGCGAAAGCGUCUAGCUAGAACGGGUCUGACGGUGAGGGACGAAGCCCUGGGGCGCAAACCGGAUUAGAUACCCGGGUAGUCCAGGGUGUAAACGCUGCUUGCUUGAUGUUAGUCGGGCUCCGAGCCCGAUUAGUGUCGGAGAGAAGUUGUUAAGCAAGCUGCCUGGGAAGUACGGUCGCAAGACUGAAACUUAAAGGAAUUGGCGGGGAGCACAGCAACGGGUGGAGCGUGCGGUUU